This is a long non-coding RNA of Oncorhynchus keta (chum salmon), 2142 nucleotides long. RefSeq lists it as uncharacterized. The record is from RefSeq and is a predicted model, not a curated record. NCBI's taxonomy places the organism in Eukaryota, Metazoa, Chordata, Actinopteri, Salmoniformes, Salmonidae. The transcript is spliced from 3 exons.
CCGAUCUAUAACAACUUAUAUACAGUGCCUUCGGAAAGUAUUCAGACCCCUUGACUUUAUCCACAUUUUGUUAGGUUACAGCCUUAUUCUAAAAUUGAUUAAAUCCUCAUCAAUUUACACACAAUACCCUAUAAUAACAAAGACAAAACAGUGUUUUAUACAUUUUUGCUAAUUUAUAAAAAAUUUAAAUGAGAUAUUACAUUUGCAUAAGUAUUCAGACCCUUAAACUCUUAGUUGAAGCACCUUUGGCAGCGAUUACAGCCUCAAGUCUUCUUGGGUAUGACUCUACAAGCUUGGUACACCUGUAUUUGGGGAGUUUCUCCCAUUCUUCACUUUAGAUCCUCUGUAGAUCCUCUCAAGGACAUUCAGAGACUUGUCCCAAAGCCAGUCCUGCGUUGUCUUGGCUGCUUAGCGUCGUUGUCCUGUUGGAAGGUGAACCUUCACCCCAGUCUGAGGUCCUAAGCGUUCUGGAGCAGGUUUUCAUCAAGGAUCUCCGUUCAUCUUUGCCUCGAUCCUGACUAGUCUCCUAGAUCCUGCCACUGGAAAACAUCGCCACAGCAUGAAGCUGCCACCACCAUGCUUCACCGUAGGGAUGGUGCCAGGUUUCCUCCAGACGUGAAGCUUGCUAUUAGUUCAAUCUUGGUUUCAUCAGAUCAGAGAAUCUUGUUUCUCAUGGUCUGAGAGUCUUUAGUGGUCAUUUGGCAAACUCCAAGCGGGCUGUCAUGUGCCGUUUACUGAGGAGUGGCUUCCGUCUGGCCACUCUACCAUAAAGGCCUAAUUAGUGUACUGCUGCAGAGAUGGUUGUCCUUCUGCAAGCUUCUCCCAUCUCCAGAGAGGAACUCUAGAGCUCUGUCAGAGUGACCAUUGGGUUCUUCGUCACCUCCCUGAUCAUGCCCUUUCUCCCCCGAUUGCUUAGUUUUGCCGAGUGGCCAGCUCUAGGAAGAGUCUUUGGUGGUUCUUAACUUCUUCCAUUUCAGAAUGAUGGAGGCCACUGUGUUGUUGGGGACCUUCAAUGCUGCAGAAAUGUUUUGGUACCCUUCCUAGAUCUGUGCCUCGACACAAUCCAGUCUCUGGAGCUCUACUGACAAUUCCUUCCAACUCAUGGCUUGAUAUUUCCUCUGACAUGCACUGUCAAUUGUGGGACCUUAUAGAGACAGGUGUGUGCCUUUCCAAAUCAUGUCCAAUCAAUUGGAUUUUACACAGGUGGACUCCAAUCAAGUUGUAGAAACAUCUCAAGGAUGAUGAAUGGAAACAGGAUACAGCUGAGCUCAAAUCCGAGUCUCGUAGCAAGGGUCUGAAUACUUCUGUAAACAAUGUAUUUCUGUUCUAUUUCUUUCAUAUUUUUUUUUACUGCAACAUUUCCUCUCAGCUCCAUGGCAAAAUAUGUAGAAUCGUUGGAAAAGUGCUUUAAAAUUGCAACAUUUUCUCUCAGCUCCAUGGCAGAAUGUGUAGAAUUGCAGGAAUUUAACUUUAAAAUGGCAAAAAUGUAUCUCGGGUCUAUGAACAAAUACUGAGAAUUGCCAUAACUACUGUAUCUAUAACUACUAUCUGAACACUACCAGGUACAAUAACUACUGUAUCUAUAACUACUAUCUGAACACUACUAGGUACAAUAACUACUGUAUCUAUAACUACUAUCUGAACACUACCAGGUACAAUAACUACUGUAUCUAUAACUACUAUCUGAACACUACCAGGUACAAUAACUACUGUAUCUAUAACUACUAUCUGAACACUACCAGGUACAAUAACUACUGUAUCUAUAACUACUAUCUGAACACUACCAGGUACAAUAACUACUGUAUCUAUAACUACUAUCUGAACACUACCAGGUACAAUAACUACUGUAUCUAUAACUACUAUCUGAACACUACCAGGUACAAUAACUACUGUAUCUAUAACUACUAUCUGAACACGACCAGGGUUCUAUACCAGGUACACAACUGCACCUCCCCCAUAUGGACUCUCUCAACACAACAGUUAUCAACCAGUGGGGUCAUAGUUUUGUAUGAACUGACAUAUAGCGCCAGUCCCUUCAGGACCACAAAGGAAAUAAAACUCUUUAUUGUGCUAUCUCUGUCACGUUCGGAGCACCUUUGUACUGUGUGGAUUGUUUUACUGUGCAGUCAAAUCAAUCCCUGU